RNAcentral lists this ribosomal RNA (484 nucleotides) under uncultured bacterium. RNAcentral describes it as "bacterial SSU rRNA". It matches the Rfam family "Bacterial small subunit ribosomal RNA", at positions 355 to 855 of the family's 1533-position model. The record is from RNAcentral.
UGGGGAAUCUUGGACAAUGGGGGCAACCCUGAUCCAGCCAUGCCGCGUGAGUGAUGAAGGCCUUAGGGUCGUAAAGCUCUUUCGCCUGUGAAGAUAAUGACGGUAGCAGGUAAAGAAACCCCGGCUAACUCCGUGCCAGCAGCCGCGGUAAUACGGAGGGGGUUAGCGUUGUUCGGAAUUACUGGGCGUAAAGCGCGCGUAGGCGGCUGACUAAGUCGGGUGUGAAAGCCCCGGGCUCAACCUGGGAACUGCAUUCGAUACUGGUCAGCUGGAGUAUGGGAGAGGAUAGUGGAAUUUCCGGUGUAGCGGUGAAAUGCGUAGAGAUCGGAAGGAACAUUCAGUGGCGAAGGCGACUGUCUGGCCCAAUACUGACGCUGAGGUGCGAAAAGUGUGGGGAGCAAACAGGAUUAGAUACCCUGGUAGUCCACACCGUAAACGAUGAAUGCCAGUCGUCGGGUAGCAUGCUAUUCGGUGACACACCUAA